This 26-nucleotide non-coding RNA is filed under the name Homo sapiens (human). The record is from RNAcentral. Lineage: Eukaryota; Metazoa; Chordata; Mammalia; Primates; Hominidae.
CUCCAGGAGAAGACCACCUUCCCACU